UAACAGACCUCUUAAAGUCAAAGGACAACGUAGAAUCAAAAAUUACCCCAAGGUUCCUCACUUUGUCAGUGUGAUGUAUGACACCACGAGCCUAGGGUAAGCAUUAGCUGCUCAAAUUGAUGCCAGUGUCUCACUGGACCAAGAACCAUCAUUUCAGUCUUAUCAGAAUUUAAAAGUAGGAUGCUGCUUGAUAUCCAGCUUCUCACUUGAUGCAAGGCAAUCUUGUAAGGAUUUUAUGUGGAUGAGAUUACCGGAAGUAAUUGGUAUGUAUAACUGCGUAUCAUCGGCAUAGCAGUGAAAGGUAAUCCCAAAAUGCCACAAUAUGUGCCCAAGGGGUGCUAUAUAAAGGGAGAAAAGCAGGUGGCCUAAGAUGGACCCUUGUGGAACCCCAAA
This is a long non-coding RNA of Thalassophryne amazonica, 393 nucleotides long. RefSeq lists it as uncharacterized. The record is from RefSeq and is a predicted model, not a curated record. The transcript has 3 exons. NCBI's taxonomy places the organism in Eukaryota, Metazoa, Chordata, Actinopteri, Batrachoidiformes, Batrachoididae.